Molecule: long non-coding RNA, 3385 nt
Organism: Calliphora vicina (urban bluebottle blowfly)
Lineage: Eukaryota; Metazoa; Arthropoda; Insecta; Diptera; Calliphoridae
Exons: 2
Source: RefSeq, a predicted model, not a curated record
ACAAGUGAAGGGCUUAAACCAAACCCAGAGAAAGUUAAGGUUAUUAAAGAAUUAGAAAUUCCAAAAACUGAAAGACAAAUAAAGAGUUUUCUAGGACUUACAGGCUAUUACCGAAAAUUUGUUAGGGACUACGCUAAGGUAGCACAACCGAUAACGAAAUAUUUGAAAAAGGGUGUAAAGAUAAAUAUUAAAGACCCAACAUACAUAGAAGCAUUCGAAAAAUUGAAAACCCUAAUUAUAUCACAUCCAAUUCUUAGAUAUCCGAAUUUUGAAAAGAAAUUUACUCUUACUAGGGAUACGUCCAAUUACGCAAUUGGUGCUGUCUUGUCACAAGAAGGGCAUCCAAUAUGUUUUGCAUCCACAACCUUAAAUAAUCAUGAGAGAAACUAUUCAGCAACAGAUAAAGAAUUUUUAGCCAUAUUAUGUAGUGUUAAUUAUUUAAGACCUUAUCUUUAUGGGAGAAAAUUUAAAAUUCUGACCGAUCAUCAACCAAUUAAGUUUUUACAUUCAAAAUAUAAAGUAAAAGAUAUGUCUCCAAGACAUCAAAGAUGGAUUCUGAAAUUAGGUGAAUAUGAUUUUGAAAUAGAGUACAUAAAAGGAAAGGAGAACAGAGUAGCAGACUUUUUAAGUAGAAUAGAAAAUAUUGAUGGAGAAAAUCAAGAUAAGAAAAACAUUCCGGAGGAAGGAGACAAUGAAUCAGAUUUAAACAUAAACAAUAUAGAAGAUGACAAUGUAUCUAUGGUAACAGUUCAUUCAGCAGAAGAAAAUUUGCAGGAUCAUUUUUAUAUUAAAGAGGAAAUAGUUAAUAAAUAUAGGACAUAAGUUAUAUUAACAAAUAACAAGAUUGAGGAAAUGAAAAUUUUACAUGGCAAAAGAAUUAUUUUUAUAGCAGAGGCAGAUUUUAAUGGAUUAGGAGAAAUAUUUAGAAAAUAUAUUACAAAAGGGAAAAUAGGAAUAUUUUCGGAGUUGUCAGAACAUAGUUAUAAUACAGUUCAGGAAAAACUAAUAGAAAUGUUCUCUAACGAUAAACAAAUAGAAUUUAUUAAAUGCACUAUGCGGGCACAGGAUAUAGAAACCGAAGUGGAGGCAAUUAAACAAAUAUCUCUCUACCAUAUUAGGGAAAGUAUACACUCAGGCAUAAUAGAAACAUAUAAUCAGAUUAAGAACAAAAUAUAUUAUCCAAAACUAAUGGAAUUAAUUCAGCUGGUAAUUAAUCAGUGUGAAAUUUGUCAGGAAGUAAAGUAUGAUAAGCGACCAAUUACCAAAAUUUUCCAUUACAGAAACACCUUCGGAAGAGAACAAGAUAAUACAUACAGAUACUUAUGUUAUGAAGGGAAAUCAUUUUUUAACGGUAAUUGAUAAAUUCUCAAAAUUUGGAGCGGCCUACCCGCUCAACGAUAGAAACCACGUAACAAUUAUCGAACAGUUAGAAGAUCACUUCGCUAAAAUGGGAAAACCUGGAAAGAUAGUGGCAGACAAUGAAUUUAAAACCGCAAGAAUGAAGGAAUUCUUAGACAAUGAAAAUAUAGAACUUCACCUAACAAAACCCAACAGUCACACGGGCAAUGCAGAUAUUGAGAGAUUUCAUAAUACGAUAGCAGACAAAUUUAGAAUUUUAUACAAAUUAGAAAAAGGGUUGUCAGUCAAACAAUUAAUACAGAAAGCCAUUCGAAAUUAUAAUGAUAGAUUUCACUCAGCGACGAAAUUUACACCAAACGAAGUACAUAAUAGAAAAGUGGAUCUUGAAGUAGUGAAAAAGAAUUUAGAAACAAAGAAACACAAAAUAAUAGAUAAACUAAAUAAAAAUAGAGAGAAUUAUAAGGAAAAUCGAACAGAAGGAUUUAUAAAAAACUAUAAAGCGGUUAGGUUAUACGGACAUAUAUAUGCGUGACCAGGAAAUAGUUCAAUAUUCAGACGUAGUUUUACACAUGAUUAAUCUUAACGAAGUAAAGGAAAUUUUAGACCAACUAACGGACAACAUAAUUUUAAUGGACAUGGAUAAUAAAGAUAUACUUGAAUUAGAACUAUUAGAUGCCAGAAAUAAAUUAAAGACUUUAAUACCGAAACAAAGUAGACAAAGACGUGGACUUAUUAACGGAAUUGGAAGCAUGUCAAAAUGGUUAUUUGGCACUAUGGACGAAGAGGACAGACAGAAUAUACAAAAGCACUUACUAAACAUUGACGAACUUACAGAAAACAAUGACCAACAAAUAUCAAUUAAUGAUUAUUUUAAUGUUACUUUAGAACACUUAAAAAUUGUAAUAUCAAAUUAUAGAAAGAAAAUAGAAAAAGAAUUAAAUUCAAUUAACAAAUUUCUGGAAAAAGAAAAUAAUAAAAAUAUAUAUUUAGAACAAUUGACAAAUGUACAAUUAAUAAAAAAUAAAAUAGAACAUUUACAAGAUAAUGUAAUUUCAGCAAAAUAUGGUAUUGUUCACCCAAGUAUUUUAACUAGCAAUGAAAUAAGAAAAUAUGAAAUUGAUUAUAACAAAUUAAAAUAUAUCCAAUUUGGAACAGCGUUUUUUAACAAUUCUUAUCUUAUUUUUGGAAUAAAAAUACCCAAAACAUUUAUAACAGUUAAGUUAAGAUUUAUUGUACCAUUACCAAAUAUUGUAUUUAAUGAAAUAGAUUCAAACGUAGAAAAAAUUUUUGAAUUCCAAAAUAACACUUAUAAAUUUGAAGAAAAUAAACAUUUAAAAGAUUUAAAACUAAGUAAUAAUUGUAUAAUAAAGAAUAAUUGUCAAUUAAUGGAAAAUAGAGAUUUGGAAAUUUUACAGUUAGAUAUAGAUACAAUUUUAAUUAAAAAUGCAAUAAAUACUACCAUAAAUCAAACUUGUAAUCAUGGAGAAAAUAUUUUAAAUGGAAAUUACCUAAUCAAUUUCAAUAACUGUUCAAUCAAAAUAAAAGAUUAUUAUUUCUCAAAUAUUGUAGAAACUAUAGAAGAAAAACAAGUAAUGGAAUAUACAAAUAAAACUCAAAAUUUUACACAUAAAAUUUCAUUUGAAGAAAUUAAAAAAGAACACCUAUAUAAUGUAAAAAAUAUUAAAGAAUUAAAAUAUCACACAAAAAUAGCAUACAGCUGCAAUAUUUUAAUUAUAAUUGUAAUAAUUGUCAUCAUUAAUAUUUUUUUAUCAAGCAUAAAUACAUAACUAUAAAAUUAAACAAAAGAAUUCAGGAGAAUUCUUAUCUAAAGAGGGGAGUAGUUACAUAUGUGGACAAAAACACACAUAAAGUCGACGAACUUACAACCGGAAUAAAUGCUGCGUCAAUUCCAGACAAGUUCGACGACUUCUUAAAUAAAAUAGGGCAAACUAAACAAAUAAAUUGAAUUCUUGAUAAAUUGCAAAUCUGCAAUAAAUGUAUUAAUUAUGACAAUUAAAUUAAUAAA